RNAcentral lists this ribosomal RNA (536 nucleotides) under Campsicnemus dicondylus. RNAcentral's name for it is "partial 16S ribosomal RNA". It matches the Rfam family "Bacterial large subunit ribosomal RNA", at positions 1804 to 2607 of the family's 2925-position model. Lineage: Eukaryota; Metazoa; Arthropoda; Insecta; Diptera; Dolichopodidae. The record is from RNAcentral.
UUAACAAAAACAUGUCUUUUUGAAUUUAAAUAUAAAGUCUAAUCUGCCCACUGAUAAAUUAUUUAAUGGCCGCAGUAUUUUAACUGUGCAAAGGUAGCAUAAUAAUUAGUUUUUUAAUUGAAAGCUUGUAUGAAUGAUUGGACGAGAUAUAAACUGUCUCAUAAAAAUUUUUUUAGAAUUUAAUUUUUUAGUAAAAAAGCUAAAAUAAAUUUAAAAGACGAGAAGACCCCAUAGAUCUUUAUAUUUUUUUUAUAAUAAUUUUUUAGAUUUUUUUAUAAAUUAAUAAAUAAAAGUAUUUUGUUGGGGUGACAUUAAAAUUUAAUAAACUUUUAAAAUUUGAAGACAUUAAUUUAUGAAUUUAUGAUCCUUUAUUAUUGAUUAAAAAUUUAAGUUACCUUGGGGAUAACAGCGUAAUUAUUUUGGAGAGUUCAUAUCGAUAAAAUAGAUUGCGACCUCGAUGUUGGAUUAAGAUUAAUUUUGGGUGUAGAAGUUCAAAAUAUUAAGUCUGUUCGACUUUUAAUUUCUUACGUGAUCUG